CAGUCGCCGCGGUAAUACGAAGGGGGCUAGCGUUGCUCGGAAUCACUGGGCGUAAAGGGUGCGUAGGCGGGUCUUUAAGUCAGGGGUGAAAUCCUGGGGCUCAACUCCAGAACUGCCUUUGAUACUGAAGAUCUUGAGUUCGGGAGAGGUGAGUGGAACUGCGAGUGUAGAGGUGAAAUUCGUAGAUAUUCGCAAGAACACCAGUGGCGAAGGCGGCUCACUGGCCCGAUACUGACGCUGAGGCACGAAAGCGUGGGGAGCAAACAGGAUUAGAGACCCGCGUAGUCCCUGUCUCUUAUAC
RNAcentral lists this ribosomal RNA (301 nucleotides) under uncultured bacterium. RNAcentral's name for it is "partial 16S ribosomal RNA". It matches the Rfam family "Bacterial small subunit ribosomal RNA", at positions 509 to 807 of the family's 1533-position model. The record is from RNAcentral.